This 72-nucleotide transfer RNA is filed under the name Ovis aries (sheep). It matches the Rfam family "tRNA". From Rfam's summary of the family: Transfer RNA (tRNA) molecules are approximately 80 nucleotides in length. Lineage: Eukaryota; Metazoa; Chordata; Mammalia; Artiodactyla; Bovidae. The record is from Rfam by way of RNAcentral.
UCCCUGGUGGCUCAGAUGGUAGAGCGUCUGCCUGCAAUGCAGAAGACCUGGGUUCGAUCCCUGGGUCGGGAA